ACCCUGCUGCCGAGUACCAAAUAGGACGAAACCUGGGUCCAGGGU
Molecule: non-coding RNA, 45 nt
Filed under: Schistosoma margrebowiei
Lineage: Eukaryota; Metazoa; Platyhelminthes; Trematoda; Strigeidida; Schistosomatidae
Source: RNAcentral